RNAcentral lists this transfer RNA (79 nucleotides) under Thiemannella venezuelensis. Its description in RNAcentral is "Planomonospora venezuelensis tRNA-Val". Lineage: Bacteria; Bacillati; Actinomycetota; Actinomycetes; Streptosporangiales; Streptosporangiaceae. The record is from RNAcentral.
GAGCCCCGUGGUCCGGCCUUCCCGCGCACGGGCUCUCACGUGGUCCGUGUCCCCGGUUCUGUUCCCGGGCAGUGCCUUC